GCCCGCUCAGAAACUACAAAUGAAUUGACGGGGGCCCGCACAAGCGGUGGAGCAUGUGGUUUAAUUCGAUGCAACGCGAAGAACCUUACCUGGUCUUGACAUCCCGGAGACCCUUAGGAAACUAGGGGGUGCUUCCAUCUGGAAGAAUCUGGAGACAGGUGCUGCAUGGCUGUCGUCAGCUCGUGUCGUGAGAUGUUGGGUUAAGUCCCGCAACGAGCGCAACCCUUGCCUUUAGUUGCCAGCAGUUCGGCUGGGCACUCUAAAGGGACUGCCGGUGUUAAACCGGAGGAAGGUGGGGAUGACGUCAAGUCCUCAUGGCCUUUAUGACCAGGGCUACACACGUACUACAAUGGCCGAUACAAAGGGCAGCGACACUGCGAGGUGAAGCCAAUCCCGUAAAAUCGGUCUCAGUCCGGAUUGGAGUCUGCAACUCGACUCCAUGAAGUUGGAAUCGCUAGUAAUCGUGGAUCAGCAUGCCACGGUGAAUACGUUCCCGGGCCUU
RNAcentral lists this ribosomal RNA (502 nucleotides) under uncultured Desulfobulbus sp. Its description in RNAcentral is "bacterial SSU rRNA". It matches the Rfam family "Bacterial small subunit ribosomal RNA", at positions 903 to 1382 of the family's 1533-position model. The record is from RNAcentral. Lineage: Bacteria; Pseudomonadati; Thermodesulfobacteriota; Desulfobulbia; Desulfobulbales; Desulfobulbaceae.